AUUGAACGCUGGCGGCAGGCCUAACACAUGCAAGUCGAGCGGAUGAAGGGAGCUUGCUCCUGGAUUCAGCGGCGGACGGGUGAGUAAUGCCUAGGAAUCUGCCUGGUCGUGGGGGAUAACGUCCGGAAACGGGCGCUAAUACCGCAUACGUCCUGAGGGAGAAAGUGGGGGAUCUUCGGACCUCAAGCUAUCAGAUGAGCCUAGGUCGGAUUAGCUAGUUGGUGGGGUAAAGGCCUACCAAGGCGACGAUCCGUAACUGGUCUGAGAGGAUGAUCAGUCACACUGGAACUGAGACACGGUCCAGACUCCUACGGGAGGCAGCAGUGGGGAAUAUUGGACAAAGGGCGAAAGCCUGAUCCAGCCAUGCCGCGUGUGUGAAGAAGGUCUUCGGAUUGUAAAGCACUUUUAGUUGGGAGGAAGGGCAGUAAGUUAAUACCUUGCUGUUUUGACGGUACCAACAGAAUAAGCACCGGCUAACUUCGUG
This 484-nucleotide ribosomal RNA is filed under the name uncultured bacterium. RNAcentral describes it as "partial 16S ribosomal RNA". It matches the Rfam family "Bacterial small subunit ribosomal RNA", at positions 30 to 507 of the family's 1533-position model. The record is from RNAcentral.